GGCAUCAAUAUGGUGACCUCCCGGGAGCGGGGGACCACCAGGUUGCCUAAGGAGGGGUGAACCGGCCCAGGUCGGAAACGGAGCAGGUCAAAACUCCCGUGCU
RNAcentral lists this small RNA (103 nucleotides) under Saimiri boliviensis boliviensis (Bolivian squirrel monkey). RNAcentral's name for it is "Metazoan signal recognition particle RNA". It matches the Rfam family "Metazoan signal recognition particle RNA", at positions 123 to 225 of the family's 299-position model. Rfam says of the family: The signal recognition particle (SRP) is a universally conserved ribonucleoprotein. It is involved in the co-translational targeting of proteins to membranes. The eukaryotic SRP consists of a 300-nucleotide 7S RNA and six proteins: SRPs 72, 68, 54, 19, 14, and 9. The record is from Rfam by way of RNAcentral. Lineage: Eukaryota; Metazoa; Chordata; Mammalia; Primates; Cebidae. RNAcentral also lists the same sequence under 1 other name.